GGCGAACGGGUGAGUAAUGCAUCGGAACAUGUCCAUGUCGUGGGGGAUAGCCCGGCGAAAGCCGGAUUAAUACCGCAUAAGCCCGGGAGGGGAAAGCAGGGGACCGCAAGGCCUUGCGCGAUUGGGUUGGCCGAUGUCCGAUUAGCUUGUUGGUGAGGUAAAGGCUUACCAAGGCGAUGAUCGGUAGCUGGUCUGAGAGGAUGAUCAGCCACACUGGGACUGAGACACGGCCCAGACUCCUACGGGAGGCAGCAGUGGGGAAUUUUGGACAAUGGGGGCAACCCUGAUCCAGCCAUUCCGCGUGAGUGAAGAAGGCCUUCGGGUUGUAAAGCUCUUUUGUCCGGAGCGAAACGGGUAGCCCUAAUACAGCUGCCUACUGACGGUACCGGAAGAAUAAGCACCGGCUAACUACGUGCCAGCAGCCGCGGUAAUACGUAGGGUGCGAGCGUUAAUCGGAAUUACCGGGCGUAAAGCGUGCGCAGGCGGUUUUGUAAGCCAGAUGUGAAAUCCCCGGGCUCAACCUGGGAAUGGCAUUUGGGACUGCAAGGCUGGAGUGUGGCA
RNAcentral lists this ribosomal RNA (561 nucleotides) under uncultured beta proteobacterium. RNAcentral's name for it is "bacterial SSU rRNA". It matches the Rfam family "Bacterial small subunit ribosomal RNA", at positions 97 to 653 of the family's 1533-position model. Lineage: Bacteria; Pseudomonadati; Pseudomonadota; Betaproteobacteria. The record is from RNAcentral.